This 497-nucleotide ribosomal RNA is filed under the name uncultured bacterium. Its description in RNAcentral is "partial 16S ribosomal RNA". It matches the Rfam family "Bacterial small subunit ribosomal RNA", at positions 28 to 507 of the family's 1533-position model. The record is from RNAcentral.
GAUGAACGCUGGCGGCGUGCCUAAUACAUGCAAGUCGAGCGAACGGACGAGAAGCUUGCUUCUCUGAUGUUAGCGGCGGACGGGUGAGUAACACGUGGAUAACCUACCUAUAAGACUGGGAUAACUUCGGGAAACCGGAGCUAAUACCGGAUAAUAUUUUGAACCGCAUGGUUCAAAAGUGAAAGACGGUCUUGCUGUCACUUAUAGAUGGAUCCGCGCUGCAUUAGCUAGUUGGUAAGGUAACGGCUUACCAAGGCAACGAUGCAUAGACGACCUGAGAGGGUGAUCGGCCACACUGGAACUGAGACACGGUCCAGACUCCUACGAGAGGCAGCAGUAGGGAAUCUUCCGCAGUGGGCGAAAGCCUGACGGAGCAACGCCGCGUGAGUGAUGAAGGUCUUCGGAUCGUAAAACUCUGUUAUUAGGGAAGAACAUAUGUGUAAGUAACUGUGCACAUCUUGACGGUACCUAAUCAGAAAGCCACGGCUAACUACGUG